GAUGAACGCUGGCUACAGGCUUAACACAUGCAAGUCGAGGGGAAACGACGGGGAAGCUUGCUUCCCCGGGCGUCGACCGGCGCACGGGUGAGUAACGCGUAUCCAACCUGCCUCUGACUGAGGGAUAACCCGUCGAAAGUCGGCCUAAUACCUCAUGGCAUCGUCUGCGGGCAUCCAACGACGAUUAAAGAUUUCAUCGGUCAGAGAUGGGGAUGCGUCUGAUUAGCUUGUUGGCGGGGUAACGGCCCACCAAGGCGACGAUCAGUAGGGGUUCUGAGAGGAAGGUCCCCCACAUUGGAACUGAGACACGGUCCAAACUCCUACGGGAGGCAGCAGUGAGGAAUAUGAGUCAAUGGGCGAGAGCCUGAACCAGCCAAGUAGCGUGCAGGAUGACGGCCCUAUGGGUUGUAAACUGCUUUUAUGCGGGGAUAAAGUGAGGGACGUGUCCUUCAUUGCAGGUACCGCAUGAAUAAGGACCGGCUAAUUCCGU
Molecule: ribosomal RNA, 490 nt
Filed under: uncultured bacterium
Lineage: Bacteria
Description: partial 16S ribosomal RNA
Rfam family: Bacterial small subunit ribosomal RNA
Source: RNAcentral